Long non-coding RNA from Cuculus canorus (common cuckoo), 3471 nucleotides. RefSeq lists it as uncharacterized. Lineage: Eukaryota; Metazoa; Chordata; Aves; Cuculiformes; Cuculidae. The transcript has 3 exons. The record is from RefSeq and is a predicted model, not a curated record.
UGCUGCCAGAGCUGGUGGAGGAGCUGCGGGCGUGUGCUGGGAUGUCACGGCGGCAUUUCUCUCAGCUCCAGGGCUCUGUUGGGCGAUGAGGGUCUGAUAGGGCAAAAGAACAAGGAAGGAGGAGAGGGGCAGGGGAAGGAGUGUUUGCAGCUCCUUGGUGCACCAUCCCGCAUCCCUGCAGCCCCGUGUCCUCAGGAGCUCCCACCCAGCCCACGCCGGCAUCCCGUGAGCACCCCAAGAGGAGUGGACCACGUCAGGAUGGGAGCCGCAGGAACCAGAGCUGAUGGCAUCUCCUGGAGGAGGAUGUGUUCAGCCGGCAAGUGGGAUCUUGGGAACCGAGGAAGCCUCUGGUUGUCUCUCCGAGCAUCAGGCUGGUGGCCAUGGCUCUUUGGCACGGGAAAACCCGCUUGGCCGUGGCUGCAGAGGCAGAGCUGUGCUCCCUGGCACACAAGGGCAGGACCAGAGCCUUUGCCAAAGGUCUGAUAGGAUUUGGGGUUUGCACCAGGAGCGGUUUCCCCUAUCUGUGAACCUCUUGGCUCCCUCACUGGUGGUGUGUGGUCCCUCCGAGGCCACGGGCUUCUGCUCGUCCAUUGGCCACCCUGAUUUUCAUAGAUCUUUUGUUGCUGUAGCCAUCCCUUAUGGGAUCCCAGGGAAGACUGCUGCGUUCAGCAGGACAAACUCUCCUCCUUCUCUCCCCAGGUGUAAUUUUGGGACUUGUCUGGCCAGAAAAAUCUGUUUUUUCCCCCUACAGGGCAGGUGCUGGGAGGAGCUGGGAUGAGGCAGGAGAAGCACCUGAGCCAGUUCUCACUGGUGCUGGGUAAAAGGCUAAUGUUUCCCCAGAGCACAUCUCUCCUAAUCCCUGUUUUCAGCCUAUUUUUAUCAUGCUGCUUCACCUUUGCCCUUGCAGGGAGUCUUUGCUCUCCAACCUCUCUCCUGACUACUUUUGCCCUCGUUCUUUUGUCUGUGUCCCUCCAAGCCUGGAGGUUGCUCACCCCGUCAGAUGAUUGAUGCCUCUCCGUGGUGGUGGAGAUGGGAUUUGUGGUUGCGCUGCCGCAGCUGAUGCCCACAGCCACUUCUGGUUUUGGGCAGAAUGGGCUGUACCCGUCAGGGUGCGCAGCCUGAGCUCAGCACUGGCUUUUCAGGUUUUAUUUGAUUUCCCAAGAAAAAGGAUUUUCCCAAAGCUCCUGCUCUCCUUGCUGCUCCAAGUGCAGCUGCGGGAGCUUGUCCUCGGAUGAAGGUGGUGGGAGCAGUGGUGUAGAGGAGGCAAUAGCCAACGUGUUGCUCAGCAGCUUUUGCAACCACAGCUACAAUCCUGUCCUGAUUGCUUCACCAAGUCAGCAGUUCUGAGGAAAAAAAGCAUGUUUUUUGUGCCCUGUGACAAUGAGGAAGAUCUCACAGCUAGGAGAAAAUGAAACACAGGCUGAGGACUGCCACGUCCAGAGAAAAAGCUUGUGUGGACAAGGAGAGGACAGGCUGUCCCCUGCCAGAAGGCUCACAGGGCAGUGAGAGUGAGAGAAGGGGAAGAAAGCAAAAGGCAUCCACAUGACUGAAGUGUUCCCUACGGAUGUUUGGCCACUUCUGAUCUGCGGGGGAUAGCAGGGGCUGGCUCGUCCCUAUUGGGAUGCUCAAUAUUUGCUGGAGCAACACCUGAGCAUCAGCGGACAGCUGGAGAGGACCCCCCAAAGAGGGCUGGAGCUCCUCAGGCACAGAUUGAGAGAGUUGGGGUUGUUCACCCUGAGAAGAGAAGACUGCGUGGAGACCUUAGAGCAGCUUCCCGUGCUGAAAGGCGCUCCAGGAAAGCUGGGGAGGGGCUCUGGAUCAGGGAGGGCAGGGAUAGGACAAGGGAGAAUGGCUUUAUAUUGGAAAGAGGAAGACUUAGUUUCUGCAUUAGGAAGAAAUUCUUCACAAUAAGGGUGUCCCUGCCCUGUCCCAGGUUGCCCAGAGCAGUGGUGGCUGCCCCAUCCCUGGAGGGGUUCCAGGCCAGGUUGGAUGGGGCUUGGAGCCCCUGAUCCAGUGGGAGGUGUCCCUGCCCAUGGCAGGGGUGGGACUGGGUGGGCUUUGAGGUCCUUUCCAACCCAAGCUAUUCCAUGAUUUGAUGAAAACCUGCUGAGAGGACAUGGGGUGCUUUGGGAUCCCAAGAGCACAUGGAGCAGUGGAGUCCAGGCUGGGCACCUCUUGCUGCUGGCCUUCAGGGGUACUGAGUGGUCUUUUGUCAUGCUGAGGAAGCUGAAGGCUCCUCCAGUUCCUGUGGCCAUGGUGAUGGGCUGGUGCCAGCAGCAUCUUGGCUGCUAAGAGUUAAGCUGGAAGAGGGAGAGGAGACCUUUGUCCAGCUGCCCCAGCACUUAUCUGCUCUUUACCUGGGGAAAUGACAGCUGAGAUGAAGUCAAUACAGGAACCGGUUGCAGAAACCAAGUGUUGGUCAGUGGUACAAUCAAUUUUUCUGAGUAAGGGCAGGUAUUUGCUUUUAUUGCAGAUUACGUCUGAGCCACAAAGUUUGCAACCAGGUGUGAUUUUUCCCGUGCCUGCAGACCCAACCCUGAAAUCUGCUCCAGUCUGAGGAAGAUGCAGCAGCCGUGAAGCCUGGCCUUGGGGACCCCUUCAUGUCGACCUCAGCGCCAGCACGCUGUAGGGCCUUGUUUCAGUGGCAGGAAAACCAAGCAGAGGCGGCGAUAAAAAUAACCCUUCUCCGUGCUUCCCUUUCUCGCUGCCUUCCAUACGUGUCUCGGGAUGCCUCAUGCAUGAGCCACGAUCACUCACGCUUUCUCCCACCUCCCUCGCACCGUCAGCAAGUCGCACAUGGUGCAGUGGCUCACGGGAAGCCCUGCAGCCCCCCAGAUCCACCAGACCCCUGAAUCCCCCUGUCCUCAGAGCAGCCCAGCCCAGAACUUGGCCCCAGCCUGUGGCCACUGACCGCAGAACUUGGCCCCACGCAGCUGGCUCGUGCUCCUGUGCUUCCAGCACCAACCCUGCAGUGCCUGCGGGGCCAAAGCAAAAUUCCUUGGAAAUCACCGGUUUUUUUCUGGGAGAUUUGUGGCACAGAAAGAACCUCAGGGUCUCUCCAGUCACCUUCUGGUUUGCCAGCACCAGCUCAGCCUGCUGGAGCAGCACAUUUUCCCCGUGAACUCGCUGCUCGCCCGGUCCCUGCCCGCAGCCAUCGCCCUGGGCUUGGCAAGGAGCUCGGGGAUGCCCAGAGCCUCCUCUGCGGACUUUCCGCUCUCCCUGAGCAAAGUGUUCUCUUUUGCCCCUUUGGAAAUCCCAGCUAAGGACCACAGAGGCCAACCUUUCAGACCCAGCAUCUGCUGCACUGCCGAGGCUCCCUUCAGAGAGAGGAAAAUCAGGAGAUGGCUUCCUGGACCAAACUUCUGCUGGGCUCUUCAGCCGUGGUCCCUGGGUGUCUUCAUCACCUCCAGGGACAGGGACGCAGAGGUGAAAUUCCUGCCUGAGGGCAGCUGCCUGGUGGCUCCGUUCCCC